This is a long non-coding RNA of Oreochromis aureus, 370 nucleotides long. The record is from Ensembl. NCBI's taxonomy places the organism in Eukaryota, Metazoa, Chordata, Actinopteri, Cichliformes, Cichlidae.
GGGUGCCAGAGGUAGCAGGAUCUAUCCAAAAGGCGCCUGCUGGAAGAGGCAGGAAAUUGAACGAGUUGACAGAAGAACCCCCUCAGGGCUGGUUUACAGUCAUUAGAGCCAUUUACCAAAUCAGCCAGCCCCACCCAAAGCCAAGCUCUGUUCCCAUGGUGCAGACUGCAUGGCUGCACCUGCCAUGUCCAGGUUGAAGACACAAGUGUACAAGAGGUUUCUUCCUGCACGGAGAGCUUCUUUGGCUGCAUGUUGUCUGUCCACAGCAAAAUCUUCCAAAUGUUUCUGUUUUGAUUGUUCUUGUGAGGAUGUGGGCAGAAUGUCUGAGGACCAUUUGAACUGGGGUUCACAGGCCACACAGAAAGCGGGG